GGGAUAAAAAAAUUGAUGGAUGUUGAAUUAUGCUUCAUUUAUGAUUUAUAACAUUAUAUACUUAUAGUCAUCAAAUAUUAAUGUAUCUAGUGUUUUAAUAAUUCUUUGUUAAUUUUUAAUGUGACACAAUCAUCGUAGGUGAUUUUUUAGACGACGCUAAAGAUCUGUUUGUGAGAGUCGGAAGGUAUGAGGAGAGUUACCGAUCCAGGAAGGAAGAACUUGAGCAGGCAAUACCAAUUAUCUUUCUAUUCCCUCUCUGUAUUUUCUUUUUAGU
This 274-nucleotide long non-coding RNA is filed under the name Gossypium raimondii (Peruvian cotton). RNAcentral describes it as "long non-coding RNA (GRAI_LNC003176)". The record is from RNAcentral. Lineage: Eukaryota; Viridiplantae; Streptophyta; Magnoliopsida; Malvales; Malvaceae.